RNAcentral lists this ribosomal RNA (445 nucleotides) under Escherichia coli. Its description in RNAcentral is "bacterial SSU rRNA". It matches the Rfam family "Bacterial small subunit ribosomal RNA", at positions 1 to 442 of the family's 1533-position model. Lineage: Bacteria; Pseudomonadati; Pseudomonadota; Gammaproteobacteria; Enterobacterales; Enterobacteriaceae. The record is from RNAcentral.
AAAUUGAAGAGUUUGAUCAUGGCUCAGAUUGAACGCUGGCGGCAGGCCUAACACAUGCAAGUCGAACGGUAACAGGAUACAGCUUGCUGUUUCGCUGACGAGUGGCGGACGGGUGAGUAAUGUCUGGGAAACUGCCUGAUGGAGGGGGAUAACUACUGGAAACGGUAGCUAAUACCGCAUAACGUCGCAAGACCAAAGAGGGGGACCUUCGGGCCUCUUGCCAUCGGAUGUGCCCAGAUGGGAUUAGCUAGUAGGUGAGGUAACGGCUCACCUAGGCGACGAUCCCUAGCUGGUCUGAGAGGAUGACCAGCCACACUGGAACUGAGACACGGUCCAGACUCCUACGGGAGGCAGCAGUGGGGAAUAUUGCACAAUGGGCGCAAGCCUGAUGCAGCCAUGCCGCGUGUAUGAAGAAGGCCUUCGGGUUGUAAAGUACUUUCAGCGG